This 253-nucleotide ribosomal RNA is filed under the name uncultured prokaryote. Its description in RNAcentral is "partial 16S ribosomal RNA". It matches the Rfam family "Bacterial small subunit ribosomal RNA", at positions 524 to 776 of the family's 1533-position model. The record is from RNAcentral.
GACAGAGGGUGCAAACGUUGUUCGGAAUUACUGGGCGUAAAGCGCGUGUAGGCGGUCGGGCAAGUCGGGUGUGAAAGCCCAGAGCUCAACUCUGGAAGUGCAUUCGAUACUGCCUGGCUAGAGUCCCGGAGAGGAUGGUGGAACUCUCGGUGUAGAGGUGAAAUUCGUAGAUAUCGAGAAGAACACCGGUGGCGAAGGCGGCCAUCUGGACGGUGACUGACGCUGAGACGCGAAAGCGUGGGGAGCAAACAGG